UAAUUAAGCGGAGGAAAAGAAACUAACUAGGAUUCCCUCAGUAACGGCGAGUGAAGCGGGACUAGCUCAGGAUGUGAAUCUGCGCUUUUAUGGCGCCGAAUUGUGGUCUAUAGACUUUGACGUUAUCUGCCGGGCCAAGUUCCUUGGAAAAGGACAGCUGAGAGGGUGAGACUCCCGUCCGCCUGGUAGAAUGAGUCUUUGUCAACGAGUCGAGUUGUUUGGGAUUGCAGCUCUAAUUUGGUGGUAAAUUCCAUCUAAAGCUAAAUAUUGGUGGGAGACCGAUAGCGUACAAGUACCGUGAGGGAAAGAUGCAAAGAACUUUGAAAAGAGAGUUAAAGAGUACCUGAAAUUGCUGAAACGGAAGCGAAGGAAACCAGUGUUUGUUGGUUCAUAUUUCCCUGGCCACUUGUGGUUUGGGCGCUGUGAGCUUGCGUGGGUUUGCUUUGGUUGAUCCCUUUGGAAGAGCGCAGUCAGAGUUGAUGUCUGUUGCUAGCACUGGGUUUGACUAAUGCAGACGAAAUGGUUUUCUUUACCCCG
RNAcentral lists this ribosomal RNA (537 nucleotides) under Pseudo-nitzschia delicatissima. RNAcentral's name for it is "partial large subunit ribosomal RNA". It matches the Rfam family "Eukaryotic large subunit ribosomal RNA", at positions 43 to 651 of the family's 3401-position model. Lineage: Eukaryota; Bacillariophyta; Bacillariophyceae; Bacillariales; Bacillariaceae. The record is from RNAcentral.